AUAAAGAAUAAUUAGUGGCAGACGGGUGAGUAAUGCAUAGGAAUCUACCUAGUAGUAUGGGAUAGCCACUAGAAAUGGUGGGUAAUACUGUAUAAUCCCUGCGGGGGAAAGAUUUAUCGCUAUUAGAUGAGCCUAUGUUAGAUUAGCUAGUUGGUAGGGUAAAGGCCUACCAAGGCGAUGAUCUAUAGCUGGUCUGAGAGGAUGAUCAGCCACACUGGAACUGAGAUACGGUCCAGACUCCUACGGGAGGCAGCAGUGGGGAAUAUUGGACAAUGGGCGCAAGCCUGAUCCAGCUAUGCCGCGUGAGUGAGGAAGGCCUUAGGGUUGUAAAACUCUUUCAGUAGGGAAGAUAAUGACGGUACCUACAGAAGAAGUCCCGGCAAACUCCGUGCCAGCAGCCGCGGUAAUACGGAGGGGGCAAGCGUUGUUCGGAAUUAUUGGGCGUAAAGGGCAUGUAGGCGGUUCGGUAAGUUAAAGGUGAAAUGCCA
RNAcentral lists this ribosomal RNA (488 nucleotides) under Anaplasma phagocytophilum. Its description in RNAcentral is "bacterial SSU rRNA". It matches the Rfam family "Bacterial small subunit ribosomal RNA", at positions 81 to 604 of the family's 1533-position model. The record is from RNAcentral. Lineage: Bacteria; Pseudomonadati; Pseudomonadota; Alphaproteobacteria; Rickettsiales; Anaplasmataceae.